This 437-nucleotide ribosomal RNA is filed under the name uncultured bacterium. RNAcentral describes it as "partial 16S ribosomal RNA". It matches the Rfam family "Bacterial small subunit ribosomal RNA", at positions 341 to 792 of the family's 1533-position model. The record is from RNAcentral.
ACGGAAGGCAGCAGUGGGGGAUAUUGCACAAUGGGGGAAACCCUGAUGCAGCAAUGCCGCGUGAGGGAUGAAGGUCUUCGGAUUGUAAACUUCUGUUAUAAAGGAAGAAUAAAAUGACGGUACUUUAUAAGUAAGCACCGGCAAACUACGUGCCAGCAGCCGCGGUGAUACGUAGGGUGCAAGCGUUGUCCGGAAUGACUGGGUGUAAAGGGUGUGUAGGUGGCUUAUUAAGUUAAAAGUGAAAGCCUGGGGCUUAACUCCAGAACUGCUUUUAAUACUGGUUGGCUUGAGUGUGGGAGAGGUAAGUGGAACUCCUAGUGUAGCGGUGGAAUGCGUAGAUAUUAGGAAGAACAUCAGAGGCGAAGGCGACUUACUGGAACAUUACUGACACUGAAACACGAAAGCGUGGGGAGCAAACAGGAUUAGAUACCCUGGUA